Molecule: long non-coding RNA, 210 nt
Filed under: Glycine max (soybean)
Lineage: Eukaryota; Viridiplantae; Streptophyta; Magnoliopsida; Fabales; Fabaceae
Description: long non-coding RNA (GMAX_LNC001480)
Source: RNAcentral
CUUUCUCUGUUAAUAUUUGUUCCAGCAACACGCCUAACAGCCAUUCUACCACAACCACAAAAAAGAACAACUUGUGAUGAAACUCUUGUUCGAGAUGAUGAUGCAUUGCUCCUCUACGACAUUGUUGAUAGUAAGAGAGAACGAAAUGGUGCGAUUUUUGAGGUCUAUUGAGAUGAUUAGAAGUGCAAAUAUGGAGGAGGAGGAGAAGAG